Orcinus orca (killer whale) is the source of this 2585-nucleotide long non-coding RNA. RefSeq lists it as uncharacterized. The record is from RefSeq and is a predicted model, not a curated record. The transcript has 2 exons. Lineage: Eukaryota; Metazoa; Chordata; Mammalia; Artiodactyla; Delphinidae.
GGGUGCCAUUCUAGAGUCCUCUCGACGGUUUCCGGGAUCAUUUUCUCUGCAGGCUCUGCAUUUAUUGUGUCAGCAAGUAUCUCCUCAAGCGCUGUGCUUCUUGGAGGCUGCUAAUGAGUGUGGGAUUAGGAGCUGGCCCCUGUCCAUCCUCUACUUCCUGCUUUGUGCUUCCUAAUCCAGUGGAACCAACUGCUUGGGGUUGAUUCCUUGUUUGCCUCUCCUCCUGGAUAAACUCCUUGAGGGUCCAUGUCUUGUUAAUCUGGGUGUCCCUAUGCUUAGCACAGAGUCAGGGACAUCGCAGAAGCUCUGUAAGUGUUGUGAACUGAUGGGAAGAAGAGUUAACCGUUAACCCCCAUACAGGAGUGAUUUUUGCACUUCUCUGAACGGUGAAGCUUAAAUGGGUCUUAAACAAUAAGUAGGAAUUGUGAGCAGGAGUGCAGUCAAGUCUUCAGAAACAGAAUGAGCGAGUCUCAGGAGAAGGAACGUGUGAGACUGGCUCUGGGAACGUGGCAGGGGAUGGUACUGGAAAGGCAGGCAGUGCCAGAGGAUUAAGGCCCUGGGCUGCCACACUUAGGGGUUUGAUGUCUCUUCCACUAGGUAAGGGGAACUUUUCCAAUAUUAUGAUUUUGAGCUAUAUGUUUUUUUAACAGUUACUCUGGUGGUGGUUUGCAGAAAAGAUUGAAGGAAUAAGAAUUUGAGGCCGGGAGACCAGUUAGCCUAGGCGAGAAGUGAGGUCUGAAAUGGGAACACAGAGGGAGAGCUUUAGGGUCACAGCCAACGCUGGGAUCCUACAGUGGGUAGAACUGAUGGGGUUUGUGGGCUGCCAUGGGGAGCGGAUGAAGAAAGAGGAAGGGACGAGGGAGUGUGAAUUCAAGAUGACUCAGGCCACUCCCUUAAAGGUGGAAGGGAUGCUAAUAUGGUAUUAACUGCGAUCGGGAACUGAGAUGGGGCAGGGCUGUUUUGCAGAGGAAGGUGGGGGAGAUAAAAAUGAGGGAAAGACCUGUAGACUUUGAGGUCGCUGGAACAUUCUGAUUGAGGUACCAGGAGGCAGCUAGAUUAGCUGGAUUAAGAUUUGGAUAUUAUCAGCCUUUAACAGCAUAAUUAAACCUAAUUCCCGUUAGAAACUGGACUCUGGAGAUUCCUAGUAUAAGGAGCAGAUGGUAGAGCUGGAAGCAGCGAAAGCAGCUGAGAAGCAGAGAGACGUGGAGAGAAGGAGAGCCCUGCAGCCAGCAGAGGCUGAGGAGGGCCACGUGCUGUCGGGAAGACAGGGCUGCUGGCGUGGUCACUGUGCACCCCAAACCGGGGGUUCCAUGGGUAGUCAGGUCAGAAGCCAGAGUGCCAUCAGUGAAUUAGAGUCCAGUGGAGGAGACGCUGAUGAAGGCUUGUCAACAGUGUGGUGAAAACAAUCAUAAAAGGAAGGACACAGUAGAGCACCAGCCCAGAGGACAAGCUGUCCUCCACCAUGGAAAGGGCCUCGUUGGCUGACUGGAUUCCCCUUUUUCAUUAAAGAUGUUCUAUUGAGCACAGGAGGUGGGCAGAGGUGGGUUAGGAGCUUAGGAAGAGGGAAAAAUAGUCGAUACGGGAAUGAGGAAUAAAAGCUUGAGGUACCAUUGAGUCCUGGCUGUGGUAAGGAGAUAGGAGCUUUGUGUCGGAACAGGGUAGUGAUUUGGUGAUGGUCAUUAGCCCCCCAUGCCCUCACAUUGGCAGCUGUAGAUGGCUGGUGCUAUGAGGAAACGGGUACUGUUGAGUAUUUCUUUCACUGAUUCAUUCUUCACAUACUUACUGGGCAUCUGCUACAUGUCAGGCACAGUUUUAGGUGCUCGGAACAUGCUGGUGAACAAGACAACAGUGCCUGCCCUCCUGCUGCAUUUAGUGUAGUUGAAAGACACGUAGAAACAAGUAAAUGUACAGUGUAUCAAACGGGGAGAAGUGCCGGCAUAAGAGUAAAGCUGGAUACAGGAAUGGAGGAGGAGAGGUAGUAAGGUUGUCCAUAAGUGGACACUUGGAUGUGAGGGAGCCAAUGUGCAGAUAACUGAGGAAGAGCCUUUCAGGUAGAGGGAACAGAGGCACAAAGACCCUGAGGUGGGAACACUCUUGGCACGCAUGCUCAGAGGACAGAAGGGAGGCCAGCAUGGCUGGAGCACAGAGCUUGGGCAGCUUGGGGAGGGGCGGUUGGACACAAGACCACCAGAUGCUCUGUGAUUACGUUUGCAUCAACGACAAGUUCAGAAUGAGAAGAAGGGUGAUGUGAGGGCCCCAGAGAUGGCAGAGCUGUGGAGCUGUGUAUAGUGUGCAGCUGAGGACAUCCAGGGAACCUCAGUCUUUGUGCCCUGGCCCUGAGGGUAGAGCUGGUGCUAAGAUCUGUGUGGAGCAUUGUGUGGGGACCCUGGGCCUCAGAUCACCUGUUGAGCGUCCACUUUGAUGUAUGUCUAAACUAUGUGAAUUAGUAGGUGCUGUUUGGUCAGCUCCUCGAAACAGCAGGGAAGUCACAAGAGUCUGUUUUGGGAGUUUGUGGUGAGACAGGAUGGUAAAGGACCAGUUGUGGACUGGGAAUGAGGGAGGAGCUAUAUUUAUGGGGAAAAUAU